This 497-nucleotide ribosomal RNA is filed under the name uncultured bacterium. RNAcentral describes it as "partial 16S ribosomal RNA". It matches the Rfam family "Bacterial small subunit ribosomal RNA", at positions 28 to 507 of the family's 1533-position model. The record is from RNAcentral.
GAUGAACGCUGGCGGCGUGCCUAAUACAUGCAAGUCGAGCGAACGGACGAGAAGCUUGCUUCUCUGAUGUUAGCGGCGGACGGGUGAGUAACACGUGGAUAACCUACCUAUAAGACUGGGAUAACUUCGGGAAACCGGAGCUAAUACCGGAUAAUAUUUUGAACCGCAUGGUUCAAAAGUGAAAGACGGUCUUGCUGUCACUUAUAGAUGGAUCCGCGCUGCAUUAGCUAGUUGGUAAGGUAACGGCUUACCAAGGCAACGAUGCAUAGCCGACCUGAGAGGGUGAUCGGCCACACUGGAACUGAGACACGGUCCAGACUCCUACGGGAGGCAGCAGUAGGGAAUCUUCCGCAAUGGGCGGGAGCCUGGCGGUGCAACGCCGCGUGAGUGAUGAAGGUCUUCGGAUCGUAAAACUCUGUUAUUAGGGAAGAACAUAUGUGUAAGUAACUGUGCACAUCUUGACGGUACCUAAUCAGAAGACCACGGCUAACUACGUG